Molecule: long non-coding RNA, 273 nt
Organism: Harpia harpyja (harpy eagle)
Lineage: Eukaryota; Metazoa; Chordata; Aves; Accipitriformes; Accipitridae
Exons: 2
Source: RefSeq, a predicted model, not a curated record
AAAAAAGAAGAAGAGACAUUAGCUAAUGGACAAUGAGGACCAUGCAAACACCAGAACAUUUUGUGUAUAGAACAGUUGUACUGGCUGAACAGGAGCAAGAAACAGAUAAUCAGCAAUCUGUAAACAACAGGAUAUGGACUCUUAGGACAAGUUUGGACACGAAGAUGACCUACACUUGGAGGCCUAACCUGAUAGCAUAUAGACCCCUUCCCCUGGCAAACCACAACAUUUUGCUUUGUAGUUUUAAAAGACUGGAUUCAGCUUGAGUUUGAG